CAGUAGCCGCGGUAAUACGUAGGGUGCGAGCGUCAAUCGGAAUUACUGGGCGUAAAGCGUGCGCAGGCGGUUUUGUAAGACAGGCGUGAAAUCCCCGGGCUCAACCUGGGAAUGGCGCUUGUGACUGCAAAGCUAGAGUGCGGCAGAGGGGGAUGGAAUUCCGCGUGUAGCAGUGAAAUGCGUAGAUAUGCGGAGGAACACCGAUGGCGAAGGCAAUCCCCUGGGCCUGCACUGACGCUCAUGCACGAAAGCGUGGGGAGCAAACAGGAUUAGAUACCCCCGUAGUCCCUGUCUCUUAUAC
Molecule: ribosomal RNA, 301 nt
Filed under: uncultured bacterium
Lineage: Bacteria
Description: partial 16S ribosomal RNA
Rfam family: Bacterial small subunit ribosomal RNA
Source: RNAcentral